Molecule: ribosomal RNA, 328 nt
Filed under: uncultured eukaryote
Lineage: Eukaryota
Description: partial 18S ribosomal RNA
Rfam family: Eukaryotic small subunit ribosomal RNA
Source: RNAcentral
CCCUUAGAUGUUCUGGGCGGCCCGCGCACUACACUGGCACUCUCAAUCAGAGCCUGGAUCUAACACUUUGGGGUAUUCUAUGAAGUGGUGUCGUGACUGGGAUUAACCCUUGCAAUUAUUGGUUACGAACGAGGAAUUCCUUGUAAUCGCGGUUUAUCAGCCCGCGUUGAAUGCGUCCCUGCCCUUUGUACACACCGCCCGUCGCUCCUACCGAUUGAACGGUUUAGUGAGGGCCUCGGAUUGGUCUCGGCCCGCUCUUUACCGGGCGGCGCCGUUGGUCGAGAAGACGCUCGAACUUGAUCGUUUAGAGGAAGUAAAAGUCGUAACA